GAUGAACGCUGGCGGCGUGCCUAAUACAUGCAAGUCGAGCGAACAGACGAGGAGCUUGCUCCUCUGACGUUAGCGGCGGACGGGUGAGUAACACGUGGAUAACCUACCUAUAAGACUGGGAUAACUUCGGGAAACCGGCGCUAAUACCGGAUAAUAUAUUGAACCGCAUGGUUCAAUAGUGAAAUACGGUUUUGCGGUCACUUAUAGAUGGAUCCGCGCCGCAUUAGCUAGUUGGUAAGGUCACGGCUUACCAAGGCAACGAUGCGUAGACGACCUGAGAGGGUGAUCGGCCACACUGGAACUGAGACACGGUCCAGGCUCCUACGGGAGGCAGCAGUAGGGAAUCUUCCGCAAUGGGCGAAAGCCUGACGGAGCAACGGCGCGUGAGUGAUGGAGGUCUUCGGAUCGUAAAACUCUGUUAUUAGGGAAGAACAAAUGUGUAAGUAACUAUGCCCGUCUUGACGGUACUUAAUCAGAAAGCCACGGCUAACUACGUG
This 497-nucleotide ribosomal RNA is filed under the name uncultured bacterium. RNAcentral's name for it is "partial 16S ribosomal RNA". It matches the Rfam family "Bacterial small subunit ribosomal RNA", at positions 28 to 507 of the family's 1533-position model. The record is from RNAcentral.